UUGAAUUGAAGAGUUUGAUCAUGGCUCAGAUUGAACGCUGGCGGCAGGCUUAACACAUGCAAGUCGAACGGUAACAUAGAGAAGCUUGCUUCUUUGAUGACGAGUGGCGGACGGGUGAGUAAUGCUUGGGAAUCUGGCUUAUGGAGGGGGAUAACUACGGGAAACUGUAGCUAAUACCGCGUAAUAUCGAAAGAUUAAAGUGUGGGACCUUCG
Molecule: ribosomal RNA, 213 nt
Filed under: Parahaemophilus parainfluenzae
Lineage: Bacteria; Pseudomonadati; Pseudomonadota; Gammaproteobacteria; Pasteurellales; Pasteurellaceae
Description: Haemophilus parainfluenzae partial 16S ribosomal RNA
Rfam family: Bacterial small subunit ribosomal RNA
Source: RNAcentral